Molecule: ribosomal RNA, 492 nt
Filed under: Triticum aestivum (bread wheat)
Lineage: Eukaryota; Viridiplantae; Streptophyta; Magnoliopsida; Poales; Poaceae
Description: partial small subunit ribosomal RNA
Source: RNAcentral
AUGGUUGAGGAGUUUACUGAAAUCAAUCGUAUCAUGGAGAAGACUGGGGACUUCACAAUGAAAAAUGUUCCUCCACCCACAACAGCAAAGGCUGCUGCCGUCGCAAGCAAGUGCUGCCCCGCUGUCUCCUCACGUCAAAGACUGAAGCAUUGCCGCCGCUGUUUCUUUGCGCACGGCAGACAUGCAUCGACCCGCAAUUUUUUUUUCACGUGCCGGAGAGCCAGAAUGUGGAGCUCGACAAAUACUCGAAAUCCUGGUUUUGGCCAUCUACGUGCAGUUCCACCGUUUGUUAUGAACAGAAAACUGAGACAUGAAAAAGGAUAUGCAACUGUCAAGAGAAGAGAGUGCAGUAACCACUGGAGAGUGGAGACAGUGGAAGAAGGUGGGAACUACAUGUUCAUUGCAACGCUUUGCUACUUACCAUUUGCAUGUGGAGGAUGCUCCCGGGUGAUUGCCAAAGCAUGCCAAUUACCAUUUGCAGCUACUAUGUGA